This 468-nucleotide ribosomal RNA is filed under the name uncultured bacterium. RNAcentral describes it as "partial 16S ribosomal RNA". It matches the Rfam family "Bacterial small subunit ribosomal RNA", at positions 28 to 507 of the family's 1533-position model. The record is from RNAcentral.
GACGAACGCUGGCGGCGUGCUUAACACAUGCAAGUCGAACGGAAAGGCCCUGCGUUUGUGGGAUUCUCGAGUGGCGAAAGGGUGUGUAUCACGCGUGUAGCCUGCCCUUUACUGUGGGAUAACUUCAGGAAACUGGGGUUAAUACCGGGUAUGAGCUCCUGCUGCAUGGUGGGUGUUGUAAAGUUUCGGCGGUUGGGGAUGGACUGGUGGCUUAUCAGCUUGUUGGUGGGGUAGUGGCUUACCCAGGAGUUGACGGGUAGCCGGCCUGAGAGGGUGACCGGCCACAUUGGGACUGAGAUACGGCCCAGACUGCUACGGGAGGAAGCAGUGGGGAACAUUGCACGAUGGGCGGAAGCCUGAUGCAGCAACGCCGCGUGCGGGAUGACGGCCUUCGGGUUGUAAACCGCUUUCGACUGUGACGAAGAGUGAGUGACGGUAAUGGGUAAAGAAGCACCGGCUAACUACGUG